RNAcentral lists this ribosomal RNA (253 nucleotides) under uncultured prokaryote. Its description in RNAcentral is "partial 16S ribosomal RNA". It matches the Rfam family "Bacterial small subunit ribosomal RNA", at positions 524 to 776 of the family's 1533-position model. The record is from RNAcentral.
UACGAAGGGUGCAAGCGUUAUUCGGAAUUACUGGGCGUAAAGCGUGCGUAGGUGGUUUGUUAAGUCUGAUGUGAAAGCCCUGGGCUCAACCUGGGAAUGGCAUUGGAAACUGGCUUACUAGAGUGCGGUAGAGGGUAGCGGAAUUCCCGGUGUAGCAGUGAAAUGCGUAGAUAUCGGGAGGAACAUCUGUGGCGAAGGCGGCUACCUGGACCAGCACUGACACUGAGGCACGAAAGCGUGGGGAGCAAACAGG